RNAcentral lists this ribosomal RNA (353 nucleotides) under uncultured bacterium. RNAcentral's name for it is "bacterial SSU rRNA". It matches the Rfam family "Bacterial small subunit ribosomal RNA", at positions 8 to 350 of the family's 1533-position model. The record is from RNAcentral.
AGAGUUUGAUCAUGGCUCAGGAUGAACGCUAGCUACAGGCUUAACACAUGCAAGUCGAGGGGAAACGACAUCGAAAGCUUGCUUUUGAUGGGCGUCGACCGGCGCACGGGUGAGUAACGCGUAUCCAACCUGCCCACCACUUGGGGAUAACCUUGCGAAAGUAAGACUAAUACCCAAUGACGUCUCUAGAAGACAUCUGAAGGAGACCUUAAAGAUUUAUCGGUGAUGGAUGGGGAUGCGUCUGAUUAGCUUGUUGGCGGGGUAACGGCCACCAAGGCGACGAUCAGUAGGGGUUCUGAGAGGAGGUCCCCCANAUUGGAACUGAGACACGGUCCAAACUCCUACGGGAGGCA